RNAcentral lists this long non-coding RNA (1964 nucleotides) under Anser cygnoides (Swan goose). Its description in RNAcentral is "lncRNA (ENSACDG00005007757.1)". Lineage: Eukaryota; Metazoa; Chordata; Aves; Anseriformes; Anatidae. The record is from RNAcentral.
AUGGGGGACGUGGGGACCCAAUGGGGACGCGCCCACGGCCAAAGGGACCAAUGGGGACGCGAGCAUGGCCAAUGGGACCCAAUGGGACGCAACCACAGCCAAGGGGACCAAUGGGGGACGUGGGGACCCGGUGGGGGCCCAGUCGGGGUCGAGGGGAUGGGAAGGGACCCGGGGGGGGCAGGAGGCCCGGGGGUGUCCCAAGGGUGUCCCGGGGGUGCCCUGGGGGAGUCCUGGGGGUGUCCCGGGGGAGUCCCAAGGGUGUCCCAGGGGUGCCCCGGGGGUGUCCCGGGGGUGCCCUGGGGGUGUCCUGGGGGUGUCCCAGGGGUGUCUCAGGGGAGUCCCGGGGGUGUCCCAGGGGUGUCUCGGGGGAGUCCUGGGGGUGUCUGGGGGUGUCCCCAGGGUGUCCCAGGGGUGCCCUGGGGGUGUCCCGGGGGUGUCCCGGGGGUGCCCUGGGGGUGUCUCAGGGGUGUCCCGGGGGUGCCCUGGGGGUGUCCCGGGGGUGUCUCAGGAUGUCACGGUGGUGUCCCAGGGGUGUCUCGGGGGAGUCCCGGGGGUGUCUGGGCGUGUCCCCAGGGUGCCCCGGGGGUGCCCCAGGGGUGUCUGAGGGGCGUCCCGGGGGUGCCCCGGGGGCCGCAGGGUAACCCCGCCCCCCGCCCCGCCCCCCCCAGAGGACCUGCCGUCGCCGCGGCGGCUGCAGAAGCUGGAGGUGCCGCUGAUGGCGCUGAGCACCUGCCGGCGCCUCUACGGCAUCGACAUGGGCCGGGGGCUGCCGCCGCGGCGCAUCCAGGACGACAUGCUGUGCGCCGGGUACCCCGAGGGCCUCAAGGACACCUGCAAGGGCGACUCGGGCGGCCCGCUGGUGUGCCGGGCCGGGGGCCGCUGGGUGCUGGCGGGCAUCGUCAGCUGGGGCGAGGGCUGCGCCGUCCCCAACCGCCCCGGCGUCUACACCCGCGUCAGCGCCUACGCCCCCUGGAUCGCCUCCCGCGCCCCCGGCGCCGCCUUCGUCACCGCCGGCGCCGCCCGGCCCCUCGGCCUCGGCCUCGGCCUCCUCCUCCUCCUCCUCCUCUUCCUCAUCGGCCCGGCGGCGGCGGCCUGAGGGCCCCCGGGGCAACGGGGCCGGGACGCGAGGGGCCUCGCGGGGAUGGGGGGGGCCUGAAAUCGUUCUCGGGACCCGCACCCCCACCCCCAGAAAUCCUACAGGGGCCUUCGGCGUCGUCAUCGGGGUCCUGAAGUCAUCGGGGGGACCCCAAAACCCUAUAGGAGCCUAAAACAGCUUCAUUGAGGUCCUGAAACCAUCACGGGGACCCCCAAAACCCUAUAGGAACCCUAUAGGAACCUAAAACAGCUCCUAAAAUGUCUUCACUGAGGCCCUAAAGCCAUCAGGGGGACCCCAAAAUCCUACAGGAACCUUCAGCAGCUCCUAAAAUACCUUCAUUGGGGCCCUAAAACCAUCACGGGGACCCCCAAAAACCCUAUAGGAACCCAAAACGUCCUCAUUGAGGCCCUAAAGCCAUCACGGGGACCCCAAAAUCCUAUAGGAACCUUCAUCAGUUCCUAAAAUGCCUUCAUUGAGGCCCUAAAACCACCAUGGGGACCCCCAAAACCCUAUAGGAACCUAAAACGUCCCCAUUGAGGCCCCAAAACCAUCAAGGGGACCCCCAAAACCCCCGUAGGAACCUAAAACGUCUUGGCUGAGUCCUAAAAUCGUCACCGGGACCCCCAAAAAUCCCGCAGGGACCCCCCAACAUCUUGGGGGUCCUGAAGCCACACGCGGGACCCUACGGGGACCCCAGAAAGGGCCCCAAAACCCCAACGGGGACCCUAAAACGUAGGGGACCCCAAAAGCUCCGGGGGGGGGGGGCUCACCCGAGGCUCCGGUUUUGGGGUGAAAAGCUCCGAGUUCGGGCCGGGCCCGAGACGGGUGGCAAAAUAAAGAAACGUUGGGGAAAAAAACGGGGGAUUUG